GAUGAACGCUGGCGGCGUGCCUAAUACAUGCAAGUCGAGCGAACAGACGAGGAGCUUGCUCCUCUGACGUUAGCGGCGGACGGGUGAGUAACACGUGGAUAACCUACCUAUAAGACUGGGAUAACUUCGGGAAACCGGAGCUAAUACCGGAUAAUAUAUUGAACCGCAUGGUUCAAUAGUGAAAGACGGUUUUGCUGUCACUUCUAGAUGGAUCCGCGCCGCAUUAGCUAGUUGGUAAGGUAACGGCUUAUCAAGGCAACGAUGCGUAGCCGACCUGAGAGGGUGAUCGGCCACACUGGAGCUGAGACGCGGUCCAGGGGCCUACGGGACGCAGCAGUAGGGAAUCUUCCGCAAUAGGCGAAAGCCUGACGGAACAACGCCGCGUGAGUGAUAAAGGUCUUCGGAGCGUAAAACUCUGUUAUUAGGGAAGAACAAAUGUGUAAGUAACUAUGCACGUCUUGACGGUACCUGAUCAGAAAGCCACGGCUAACUACGUG
This 497-nucleotide ribosomal RNA is filed under the name uncultured bacterium. Its description in RNAcentral is "partial 16S ribosomal RNA". It matches the Rfam family "Bacterial small subunit ribosomal RNA", at positions 28 to 507 of the family's 1533-position model. The record is from RNAcentral.